GUAAGGGACCGAGCGUUGUCCGGAAUCAUUGGGCGUAAAGGGUACGUAGGCGGGCUAGAAAAGUUAGAAGUCAAAGGGCUAUAGCUCAACUAUAGUAAGCUUCUAAAACUAUUUAGCUUGAGAAAUGGAAGGGAAAGUGGAAUUCCUAGUGUAGCGGUGGAAUGCGCAGAUAUUAGGAAGAAUACCGGUGGCGAAGGCGACUUUCUGGCCAUUAUCUGACGCUGAGGUACGAAAGCGUGGGUAGCAAACAGGAUUAGAUACCCUGGUAGUCCACGCCGUAAACGAUGAGUGUUAGGUGUCUGGAGUCAAAUCUGGGUGCCGCAGCAAACGCAUUAAACACUCCGCCUGGGGAGUACGCACGCAAGUGUG
This 369-nucleotide ribosomal RNA is filed under the name uncultured organism. Its description in RNAcentral is "partial 16S ribosomal RNA". It matches the Rfam family "Bacterial small subunit ribosomal RNA", at positions 526 to 896 of the family's 1533-position model. The record is from RNAcentral.